RNAcentral lists this ribosomal RNA (73 nucleotides) under Ochotona princeps (American pika). Lineage: Eukaryota; Metazoa; Chordata; Mammalia; Lagomorpha; Ochotonidae. The record is from RNAcentral.
AUCUAUGGUCAUGCCACCCUGGACGUGCCUGAUCUCAGAAGCUAAGCAGGGUCAGGCUGGUAGUACUUGGAUG